RNAcentral lists this transfer RNA (66 nucleotides) under Schistosoma mekongi. RNAcentral describes it as "tRNA-Met". The record is from RNAcentral. Lineage: Eukaryota; Metazoa; Platyhelminthes; Trematoda; Strigeidida; Schistosomatidae.
UGGAUAUUAAGUUAAGAAAACUAUAUGAUUCAUGUUUAUAUAUUGUGUAAAGUUACACAUAUCCUU